AUCCUACUGAAGAGUCCCGAAUAGGAAGAAACGUGUGUCAAACUGGAU
This 48-nucleotide non-coding RNA is filed under the name Schistosoma mansoni. The record is from RNAcentral. Lineage: Eukaryota; Metazoa; Platyhelminthes; Trematoda; Strigeidida; Schistosomatidae.